AUCCAACAAGUAUGGCCCAGGAGUGUCUAACAUCUUUUGAAUGGCAGCUCUAAGAUCAUCCCUGUGUGACACUCUUGCAGCAGGUACGCCACAAGCCUCUGCAAAUUUCAACAUAUUAGGGAAGAUCUCUUCCUCGUUAGAAGGGUCACCCAAGUAAGUGUGUGCUCUGUUAGCUUUAUAGAAUCGAUCCUCCCAUUGAACCACCAUUCCCAAGUGUUGAUUAUUCAGCAACAUAAUCUUAACUGGGAGAUUCUCCACCUUAAUUGUUGCUAACUCUUGCACAUUCAUGAUAAAACUCCCAUCACCGUCAAUGUCAACCACAAUCUCACCCGGUCUCCCAACAGCCGCACCUAUAGCAGCAGGCAAACCAAAUCCCAUUGCUCCUAAUCCACCAGAUGUCAACCAUUGGCGUGGCUUUUUGUACUUAUAGUAUUGGGCAGCCCACAUCUGGUGUUGCCCCACACCAGUACUAAUAAUGGCAUUUCCGUUAGUUAACUCAUCAAGAACCUGAAUAGCAUAUUGUGGAGGGAUGGCAUCACCAAAAGUCUUAAAAUUCAGUGGGUACUUCAUCUUCUGCUCCGUUAACUCCUGCCUCCAGGCAGAAAAAUCUAACUUCAUCUUACCUUCUUUACCCUCCAAUAUGGAAUUCAAACCCUGUAAUGCCAACUUGAUAUCUGCACAAAUGGAAACAUGAGGUUGCUUGUUUUUUCCAAUCUCUGCCGAAUCAAUAUCAAUGUGGACAAUUUUCGCUCGACUAGCAAAAGCUUCCAAUUUACCAGUAACUCGAUCAUCAAACCUCACCCCAAAUGCAAGCAACAAAUCA
This 823-nucleotide unclassified non-coding RNA is filed under the name Hevea brasiliensis (rubber tree). The record is from RNAcentral. Lineage: Eukaryota; Viridiplantae; Streptophyta; Magnoliopsida; Malpighiales; Euphorbiaceae.